GACGAACGCUGGCGGCGUGCUUAACACAUGCAAGUCGAACGGAAAGGCCCUGCUUUUGUGGGGUGCUCGAGUGGCGAACGGGUGAGUAACACGUGAGUAACCUGCACUUGACUGUGGGAUAACUUCAGGAAACUGGGGCUAAUACCGGAUAGGAGCUCCUGCUGCAUGGUGGGGGUUGGAAAGUUUCGGCGGUUGGGGAUGGACUCGCGGCUUAUCAGCCUGUUGGUGGGGUAGUGGCUUACCAAGGCUUUGACGGAUAGCCGGCCUGAGAGGGUGACCGGCCACAUUGGGACUGAGAUACGGCCCAGACUCCUACGGGAGGCAGUAGUGGGGAAUAUUGCACAAUGGGCGGAAGCCUGAUGCAGCAACGCCGCGUGCGUGAUGACGGCCUUCGGGUUGUAAACCGCUUUCGCCUGUGACGAAGCGUGAGUGACGGUAAUGGGUAAAGAAGCACCGGCUAACUACGUG
Molecule: ribosomal RNA, 468 nt
Filed under: uncultured bacterium
Lineage: Bacteria
Description: partial 16S ribosomal RNA
Rfam family: Bacterial small subunit ribosomal RNA
Source: RNAcentral